CCAGUUAUCCAUACAGUGAGGACUCAAAUCAGGGAAGGCAGUACAUGAAUACAAGGUGCCCCUCAUGGUGUGAUCGUAUCCUUUUGUCUCAUUCAGCACGGGACCUUAUUCAUAAGGCAGAAAAUGAUGAGAAGUCAGUUAUCUAUGACAACAUUGGACCAAAUGUUUGCAUGGGGGACCACAAGCCUGUCUUCCUGUUCUUUCGAAUAGCUGCUGGGGCAGGUAAACCUAAUAGAAAUAUGCGCAACUGUUGUGUGGUGCAGUGAUGUGGUGCUAAACGGUAUCAGCGGACUGAGAAAAUCUUUCGAGAAACUGCCCUCUAGUCUGUUUGCAACAAGCAAAUAAGAAGAGGAGGAACACGGACAUCAGAACGUUCGCGCACAUCUCUCUCAUUCGAUUCAUGUUGAUGCUGUAUUUCUUAGGGCCGCACCUCAGGCUGCUCAUCAUCCAUUUUGCUUUGACGUCUGAAGUCUUGCACAAGACGGCCACACAUACCUCGCCAUUUCAGACAUUCCUGUGACACUUGAGAAUUAAAUGUGGGACAGUUUUAAAAUGUGUCACAGAUUUGUUGCCAAACACUAACAGUAGAACUUACUACAUCUUUUAAAUAUCUCACGUUUAUAAUGUUUAGCUGAAAACAUUGUCUUCUAAAAAGGAGAAACCGUUUCCUUAUGUAAAGUUUCAUGAAGUGCAAUGCGAAAAUUGUAUAUCGAUACUGUAUUAGAGAGGUUUUUUUUUGUACAUUGGAUUGUAUAGAUCGUGGAAUUACUUCCAGUGAUGGUUUUAUUGAUAUUCCCUUCAUCUUUUUACGUCUGUGGUAGGCUAGUUAGGCAUUUUCAUUUUGGUGAUUCCUCAUAUUAGAUACUACAUUUUACAUAUCUGGUUUUGAAUCACAAUUUAGCCCUUCUCAUUUUUAUAUUCACUUUUAAAAGGAAACUAAUUUAUAAUAUAAUCUUUCCACAAGCCUACGUGAAAUUCCUUUCGUAAAGACUGACUGCUCUGACAUAUCAACGAUUAGUUAGUACGUAUAGCAGAUUGAAUAGAUAAAAAGUACAAGUCCUCGACCAAGUUAUACUGUAGAUAGCUUAUACAGUGCCAUUGUUGAUGAAAUAAUCGAAUUUGCUAUAAGCACCACAAAAGUCUUUCUGUGUUACGUACUUCUAUUGUAACUUAUUCCUGAAUAAUGCCAAGUUUUCAGAAUGUGAAAAUUAAUAGGAUGGGUAUCAUAAGAUUUUUUGUAAACUAUUUCUGUCUAUUUUUGUUACUGCAUAUAGUGCCAAGUAUCUAUGGACAGAGUUUAGUGGGAAUGUCUCCUGAUAAUCGCUUGCUAAAUGUGCUUCAAUGGAUUGUAUAUAAAGCCCUGAAACCUGAAGUUGCCAAUUUCGUAUUGUACCGCGAAUAUUUAAUCUCCAGCGCUAAUAUUGCAAAUUUUACAUGCUGCCUUCUUUACAGCAUUAAAAGAUGAUUAGGUCCGAAAAUGGGAAACACAGCCAAUGCCGAAACGUUUCCUCUUAUCGAUUUAAUUUACUACACUACAAAGUUCACUAGCUACUUGAUAGCGGUGGAUUGAUGCGUGUUUUCGUAUAAAUCACUACGAUUGGAAAUGAUUUUGUGUCUGCCGGCAGAAUUUAUGUGGCCGUGACCGUGAGAUCAUUCUCGUUUGUAGACCAAGUGUAACAAGCAGGAUGCAGACAAACUGUACCGAUGUGUCCAUGUAUCAAUAGCCACACACUGUAAACUAUUUUAUUAAAUCAAGGAUUCAACUUAAGUGACGUUUAUGGGCUAUAGAAAUAAAAUUCUUUGUUUCUCAAACAA
Long non-coding RNA from Rhincodon typus (whale shark), 1815 nucleotides. RefSeq lists it as uncharacterized. The transcript is spliced from 4 exons. The record is from RefSeq and is a predicted model, not a curated record. NCBI's taxonomy places the organism in Eukaryota, Metazoa, Chordata, Chondrichthyes, Orectolobiformes, Rhincodontidae.